This is a long non-coding RNA of Canis lupus familiaris (dog), 4274 nucleotides long. RefSeq lists it as uncharacterized. The transcript is spliced from 3 exons. The record is from RefSeq and is a predicted model, not a curated record. Lineage: Eukaryota; Metazoa; Chordata; Mammalia; Carnivora; Canidae.
GGCAAGAGGAGGAGCUGACUCCCUGCUGAGCCCGAUGGGAGACUCGAUCCCAGGAUCCCCGGGAUCAUGACCUGAGUUGAAGGCCGACACCUAGCGGAUUGAGCCACCAGGUGCCCGGCAUUAGUGCUCUUGUAAAAGACACCCCACAGAUCUCCUUACCCCCCCUGCGAUGUGAGGCUACCAGGAAAAGUCUGGGACCGGGAAGAGGGCCCUCACCGGACCAUGCGGUACCCUGAUCUGACUUCCAGCUUCCAGAACUGAAUCCUGCUGUGAUGAUCGGAGCUGUAGCGUUUUGCUCAGUUACUGAGCUAAAAGGAAUUGCCUCAUCAGCUCUGCAAGCUCUUCCAGCCAAACCCCAAGCUUCAUCUGGACUUCGCUUAAGUGUCUAGGAUAAUAGAUUCCAGGCGCCUUGGCUCAUAGGCUUGGAGACCAACACUGCCCGACAACUGGUCCCAGGCAUGCCUCUGAAUGUCCCAAAUCGGCGGCCUGGCAUUUUCUCUUGAAGACACUCUAGAAGAAACCCCCUGUGCAGAGGCCCAGGUUUUACUUUCAAGUCCAGUUAUAAAAGCCUUAAUCUAAUCUCCAAAGUUCUGGAUCAUACCCUCAGGAUGGAGAACAAGAGUAGGGCCGCAUUUCAACUGGAGCCCAGUGGGGAGAGGCCUCACGGGAGAGGAGGCAAAGGAGAGAAAGCAGGAUGGAGGGAAGACGGGGCUCUGAACCCCGCUUCCCUCGGACUUGCACAAGCCCUUACAAAGGGGCUGCCGAGAAAAGCCCGCCGCGGGGGGUGCCCAGGGUGGAGCGCCGGGAUCGGCCGGACCGGGUGAUGAGGUUCUUUGUGUUGUUUACAUCCAAUAACCCUGACUCAUGUGCAUGAAAAUGAACAACAACAACAACAACAACAAAACCCAGAAAGUUUUGGCUUGGUCAUUUCCCCUUCCAAAUCUGGAAUGAUUGUCAUGUCUCUUGAAGCCUUCAGACACUGUUAGCCAGAGGUCCUUCCUCACCAAGGGGAACUAAGUCUAGAGGCCUUGGUGACAAGUGUGGGCAGCCAGUUCUCGAGUAUGAAUGGGGAUGAUUGGCAGACACAACUGCUUACAUAAAACCAGCAAAUCACCAACACUUCAAAUUAAGACUUUGUUUCUCCUUCAUCCAAACCAUUCCCAGUACUGGCAGAGAAGAGAAAAAUUGGGCAGAUUUCAACAUCAUCUCCUUUCGUACAUGUUAUAUUCUGGUGCAAAUGUUCGUGAAGGUGUCUCAAUAGGAAGCAGAGAAAAAUAAAAAGAGAACUGACAGCCAGUGUUAUCUGCUGCAUGCCUUGGAAUCAACUCAAUGCACUUGAUUAUGAUUUCAUGGAAUCAUGCCACAUUGUCACUGGAAGAAGCUCAAGAGUCAUUUGUUCGGUGUUUAUUGAGUGUCUACUGUAGGCCAGACACUAUUUUAGACACUGAGAAUUCAAUGGUUGAUAGAAGGCUUCUGCCUUCAGGGAGCUCUCAGUUGUGUGGCGGAGACAAAGAAGUAAACAGUGGGAGACGGCCCCAAUUUCACAAGUGAGCUCAAGCCCAGGAAUUGCAAGGAAAACUGUAGCAGAACUGAAAGCAAAAUUGAGGCCUCUUGGCUUUCCAUUUUCUCAAGAGAAACGUUUACCAGGUAAACUUAAGAGGGAGCCAGGGUGACAGGGCCAAGCUUUGGAGCAGCUUAUACGUACACAAAAAUAAAUCACACACACACACACACACACACGCAAGCACGCAUGCAUGCACACUUGUGCAUGAUAAAUUCCAUUUUGGACCUCCAAGGCUUGAACUUCGGCCCAUCAGGGGUGGCACAAGCAGACUUUAACCAUUCUGAUGACUAUGUCAUUCCUUGACCCCAGAGGUGAUCAGAUUAAGCCUCCAAAUGCAAGAUGUGAUUACCCAUCUCCGCUCUGUAAUCGGCUGGCCACGUCUGUUAUCAAUUGCAGCAAAACCUUCGUAUCCCAAGGGGAAAACACCUGCCCUGCUGCAUGCAGUUCUCUCCCUGAUGACUCCCCAUGGCCGUCCCCUCGUGGCUGCAGAGACGUGAGGCUCUUCCACAUGUCUCAGCUCCCGCUAUGGCUGUGCAUCACUCAUGACUGUGCCCCCGCUAAGAUUCCAGUGCUUCCAGGACAGAGUCACCUUGUUUCAGUUCAACUGGAUGCAUGUUCUUAAUGGGUGGAAGAGUUUCCUGGCAGGGAAGAAAUGACAUCACUGAUAAUAUCUAACAUUUCCUAUGUGCUUCCUAAAGAGCCAGACUGCCAAGUACCUUCCUUACGCUUUCUCACUUCUUACACAACCCUGUGAGGAUGUGGACCUUGGGAGCAAACAAUCCUGGGCCCUCCACUUCGUACUUUAGUGAUGGGCCUCUUUUUUUUUUUUUUUUUUUAAUAUGCCUCUUUUCUAAUCUGCAAAAUGGGAAGAGCAAGAGUGUUUAUUAGAUGUGAUUGUUUUGAGAUGAGAUGAUAAAAAAAAUGUUUAAAAAAAGCACUGAGCACAGAGGCUGGACCCGUGGUGAUCACAUAAUAAAUGGCAGCUGCCGCUUUUACCUACACCAUUAAGGCAACAGGUCUACGGAAGUUAAGUAACUUGCCCAAGGAGAGUCAAGAUGAUGAACCACAGUACCCGCCUUCAGGUGGUUUGGAGUCUUCUUGAGGUUCUUUUUUUUUUUUUAAUUUCUUUUUAUUGGAGUUUAAUUUGCCAACAUAUAGCAUAACACCCAGUGCCCCCCUCUUGAGGUUCUUAAACACUAAUGAAUGCGGUAACUCAGGAUGAAUGCGAGAAGCCCUUGAAGUGAGAGACAGAACCUGUGGACAAUAUUUCUGGGUCCUUUUUUUCUUUUUAAUUAUUUUUAAAUCUGAAAAAAAGAAAUUCAAGUAUUACCAUAUCAAAGGCAUAUAGAGAAGAGUUGGUCUUUUUUGCCUCUGACUUUAAGUUCAAAGGAACCCCUUCGUGUCUUUCUACGCAAAUUCGAGCACGCAUGCAUAGAGCAUUUUAUACAUACAUGUGUGUAUGCUUAUUCAUGUAUAGUAUAUUUAAAGAAGCUAUUUACAAAAUCCUUUUAAUCCCUCCUUAAAAAUCCCAAAUAGUCCAUUUUUUUUUCAAUAUGAUCUGUACCUUGUGUUUGUUUUUUUUUCACUUGAUAGUGUAUUCUGGAGGUUGAGCUACAUCAUUAUAUCAAGAUUGAUUACAAUCUUAAAUGGUUGCACGGUGUUCCACUGUGUGGGUAUAUAAUGAUUGAUUUAACCAACCCUUUAUUGAUGAAUAUUUAGAUUGUUUCUAGGUUUUUUUUUUCCACUAUGAAUCAAUAAACAACCUUGUAUAUGUGUUUUUGUAAAUAUGCACACAUGUGUUUGUUGGAGAACUUCCUAGAAGUGUGAUUACUGGACCUAAGGUUACGCACAUAAAUCUGUGAUGGAUAUUGCCAAAUUAUCCUCCAGAGAAGUUGUGUCAAUGUAUGCUCCUUCCAUAAUGUAUAUGAGCUCGUUCAGUCCAUUAUUUCUUAGUUGCAUUGGGCAAACAACCCUGAGUAAAUAGUGUUGCUUCUUUUUGUUUCUUUAUAUUUACUAGUUAGAUUGAGCGCUAUGUUAAUGAGCCCAAGGUCAUGAAUUUGUCUACUAAGUAGUUAAUGAGCUUUGCUGGCUCUUUCAUCAAGGUUAGUCCUUUCCAUGGUCUGUGAAUCCCAACAGAGACUAGAGGAGAAAAUGAACAGAGAGGCAAUAUUCUUGACCAUUUCUGGAUUUAAAGACGGUAAUGGUGAAUUAUCGACAGACUUACAUCUUUAAAAAUGAUAAUAUUGCUCUGUUUCCUCAGCUUCAUUAUUUGUAGCAAGAUAUAUCUAUAUUUAGUAUAAUGCUCUAAACAAUUUGGAGAAAGAGGACUUACAUUUAUAAAAAAUCCUUAUUGCGCAGAAAUUGUUUUUCCUAAACUGUUAGCCCCUUGGUGGCAUAGACCAUGGAUGUUCAGCGUGAUAUUCCCAGAGGCUGUCAUUAUGGCAAAUGCGAGGUAUUCAGUGGGUAUUAAGUGAAAAGAUAAUGGGAGACUGAGAGGAUUUGGGGGGUUUGGAUAGUGAUCACAGUAAAUAUUCAGUGUUUCGUCGAGUUUGUAUUUCAUUCAUUCAGAGUGCACAUCAGCUUGUGUUGUUAGGUGCACAGAACAGGUACAUAUUCUGAGUUGUGUGACCCUGGAGUCUAAGAAGGAUGACAAUGUAAAUCCUCAUUUAAUUGCCUUUGUUGUUUUUCUUUGAUCUAAAUUAAAAGUUAA